AGCGAACGCUGGCGGCAGGCCUAACACAUGCAAGUCGAACGAACCUUUCGGGGUUAGUGGCGGACGGGUGAGUAACACGUGGGAACGUGCCUUUAGGUUCGGAAUAACUCAGGGAAACUUGUGCUAAUACCGAAUGUGCCCUUCGGGGGAAAGAUUUAUCGCCUUUAGAGCGGCCCGCGUCUGAUUAGCUAGUUGGUUGAGGUAAUGGCUCACCAAGGCGACGAUCAGUAGCUGGUCUGAGAGGAUGAUCAGCCACAUUGGGACUGAGACACGGCCCAAACUCCUACGGGAGGCAGCAGUGGGGAAUCUUGCGCAAUGGGCGAAAGCCUGACGCAGCCAUGCCGCGUGAAUGAUGAAGGUCUUAGGAUUGUAAAAUUCUUUCUCCGGGGACGAUAAUGACGGUACCCGGAGAAGAAGCCCCGGCUAACUUCGUG
This 434-nucleotide ribosomal RNA is filed under the name uncultured bacterium. RNAcentral's name for it is "partial 16S ribosomal RNA". It matches the Rfam family "Bacterial small subunit ribosomal RNA", at positions 29 to 507 of the family's 1533-position model. The record is from RNAcentral.